This 440-nucleotide ribosomal RNA is filed under the name uncultured bacterium. RNAcentral's name for it is "partial 16S ribosomal RNA". It matches the Rfam family "Bacterial small subunit ribosomal RNA", at positions 338 to 795 of the family's 1533-position model. The record is from RNAcentral.
CCUACGGGUGGCAGCAGUGGGGAAUAUUGCACAAUGGGGGAAACCCUGAUGCAGCGACGCCGCGUGAGUGAAGAAGUAUCUCGGUAUGUAAAGCUCUAUCAGCAGGGAAGAAAAUGACAGUACCUGACCAAGAAGCACCGGCUAACUACGUGCCAGCAGCCGCGGUAAUACGUAGGGGGCAAGCAUUAUCCGGAUUUACUGGGUGGAAAGGGAGCGUAGACGGUUAUGUAAGUAUGGAGUGAAAGCCCGGGGCCCAACCCCGGGACUGCUUUGGAAACUGUGUAACUGGAGUGCAGGAGGGGCAGGCGGAAUUCCUGGUGUAGCGGUGAAAUGCGUAGAUAUCAGGAGGAACACCAGAGGCGAAGGCGGCCAGCUGGACUGAAACUGACGUUGAGGCUCGAAAGCGUGGGGAGCAAACAGGAUUAGAUACCCUUGUAGUC